Molecule: long non-coding RNA, 927 nt
Filed under: Gopherus agassizii (Agassiz's desert tortoise)
Lineage: Eukaryota; Metazoa; Chordata; Testudines; Testudinidae
Description: lncRNA (ENSGAGG00000007733.1)
Source: RNAcentral
ACGUCAGCUUGAGUCUUACUGUACGUCCGGCUGCAUUUACAUACAUCAAGGAAAUUAGGGCAUUAAAAAUAUGCAAAUCCUGCUGCUUGAAGAAGAGACUGUAGAUUCCCGGAGCGAUCGUCCCUGUUAUUGAAGAUUGUAAUUAAAGGAACAGAAACAAACCAACCCGCACCCCCGCACUCCCCCAAAAAACAACAACAACCAAAAACCCCGAAUGACAAAUAUCUGUUAGGCAGUGAGAAGAGGUUUCUGCUGCUCCGGUUCUGUGGCUGAGGACGGCCGGCCUGCAGCGCUGCACGGAGAAGAGAACAGGUUAGAGGAGGCUGCUCCAGACGUCUCUCUAUGCAUAAUCAGGGCUUCACCGCUGCGCCAUUCUCCUCUCCUCCUCCUCCUGCUGCUGCUGCUCCUGUUGGUUCCAGCGUGUAUUAUUUUUAAUACUGAUGCAUAUGUAAAGGAAAUCAGCGUUUCCUACGAAGUAGGCGAAGGGACCGAGUGCACCCAGGCUAUCUGGGAGGAGUAUUGGCAGGGAGGGAGGGGAUACUGCUGCCGAUAUUCUCAUUCCACCUCCUCCGUUGUCCACCCUGCCCCAGCUCAGGGAAAGCGCCCGACCACCCUCACCCACCAAGUGGUUGGUGAUGCUCUCUAUGGAUAAUACAGUCUCGAUGUGUAGUCAACAAAAAUACCACAGCAAAAAUCGUAUUCCUUAGUAAGUACUGGUCAUAUCAUGUCAUCGAUUUUUAAGCAGAACUCUCCUGUGAAGUCAUCGGAGACUUCAGGUUUAAAAAGAUGACACUAUAUUGCUCCGGUCUGCAUAAGAUUAAAUCGAUUAACCAAAAAUAAGUUAGAAAUGUAAAAUAUAUUGUUUUCACCUUUGGUAGUUAAACACAAUUAAAAAUAAAGCUCCGUCCUACAAUUUCUACUGACGCA